This is a long non-coding RNA of Homo sapiens (human), 3646 nucleotides long. Ensembl annotates it as TTC28 antisense RNA 1. Its record names the gene TTC28-AS1. The record is from Ensembl. Lineage: Eukaryota; Metazoa; Chordata; Mammalia; Primates; Hominidae.
GCGCGCACUCUUGUCUGCUUACGAGGGCUCCUCCCUUCAGCUUUGGUCCCUCGGGGCGUCUGGGCAGCCUACGCUUUCCGCAUGACCCAUCUGCCUGGCACCAGCACCUGGGGCUGCCAGGCAGCCACCCCUGCAGCUGUGUUGACAGGACCUGGCAGAGGGACUGACCCACCUUUGGAAAAUGACACCAGCAAUAUCAGGAUGUGUCAACUGGAUUUAUGCUAAGAAAAUAGGAUUUUUGGUGUUCCUCUGUUUCCCAAAGUUUGAGACACUUUCAGACACUCUGCUUUGCGGUUGUGGCCGAUGUUACCCAUGGGUGGGACUUUUGCUUUGCUCUAGAUUUUUGUAACACCCUGGGGAGUUUCAGGGGCCAAUGCUGAGAGAAGACCACAGGCUGACACAUCAUGAGGUGCCUAACUUACUGAGAAUCAUGCCUGCUGUGAUGAGCCCUUGGAAACCAUCAGGACUGGAUGGUAGGGGUCCUGAGAGGAUUGGGGGAGGAGGCCUUGAUAUGACAGAGUGGACAGAGGCCGUGGAACCCAGGACAGCCAGCCUGCUCCACAAUCCUCAUCCCCACAGACCUUCAUGUGUGGCUCCUAAAUAAGAGGAAACCCACUCCUGAUAAGUCAGGGGCUUUGAAAAGUGAUUUUGUUUAAAUGGUGCAAACAAGCAAGCCAAUCUUGGGGAGACAGGGCUAAACUUAAGUCCUUUAAGAAGCUCUACAUACUGACAAGAUUCUAGUUCCCUUCCACCUUAUAUGCUGCAAAGUAAAAAGUAUCACUGAAUGAGAAAAUCAGCAUAAAGAAGCCCAAUAAUGUCUGCCUGAGUUUCCCCUAUGAUGACUUUUGGUACUUUUUGGGAAACAUUAAGUAUGAAGUUAUUUCAAAAUAAUUUUUUGGUGCCUCUGCUUGGUGAUGCCUUAAACUCUGGGUAAGAGAAACACCAGGUGCCUGUCAGGAGAUGGCCUUUUCCAGGUUUCUGGUUAAGCUACAAACAGCUAACUGGCUGCUGUCAUCAAAAUAAAAGCUUUCUGAAGGUGGAGGCAUCUGAUACCCAGAGUGCUGCUAUCAGCCGGCACGGUGGGCCGCUGGGUGGCAGGAGCGUCGAGAAGGCCAGCUCGCUUCCUAUCUGGGAUUCAGAAUCAGCUAUGGAAACUUGAGAGACCUAGAGAAAAUAACUUCUUUCACUUUGAACUGAUUCUUUGCUUCAUAAGAAAAGUAUUAUCCAGCCACAAAAAUGGUCAAAAUUCAGAUCUACAAAAGCCUGUCAGGCAGAAACUGACCCCACUUAGGCCACGCCAAUGAGCAAGUCAUCAAAGCAGCCAAGACAGGUCCUGUGGGGGCCACCCAUGCACAGGGCCCAGCCUCGGGUCCUAACCCCGCCUAUGCUUUCCGCCACCAUAAAGAGGCCCAUCUGGGUAAGACCUGUCCCGCCUGCUGUGGGGUAUUAGGGCAGAUGGGGUCUGAGGGGUCUGAGGGCUCUGAGAGCAGCUGGCAGCUCAAGGACAUCCGGAGUUGGAGGAUGGAGCAAUGCAGGCCCUUGUGGUAAAGACAGUCCUGCAGCCGCGCAGGCAGGGAUGCUGCAAGUGGAGUGCCAGGCGGGUGCGGAGCCCUGUGGGACUGUGGAGGGGUCAGAGGGAAGCCAGGAUUUUGGGGUCUCUGAGAGUUUGGAGAAGGGGAAGAAGAUUAAAGCUUGUUUCAAAAGUUUCUAAUCAGGUGGGCAGGGCCAAGGGUGGCUGUGGGGUGAGACCCAUGACUCAGGGUGGCCCACUGUUACUCUAUUGAUUUUUGGGCGUUUUUUUCCAAAUUGAUUAUUCUUGCUGAAUGAGACCUGAGUCCUUGACUGUCCCCUUAAAGCCACCUGACUUGUUUUCAGUUCCACUGGCCUGUCGGGCUGUUUUCUACUCAACUCCACUCUUGCUUGUCUGCCCUCCCUGCCUGGGGCCCAGCCAGCAGUCAGCUCAAGGGCCAGAUGAAUUGGGUGGCUGUGCUCUGCCCACUGGGCAUCGUGUGGAUGGUGGGUGACCAGCCCCCUCAGGUGCUCAGCCAGGCCUCAAGCCUUGCUGUGUACCUCAGAGCAGCUCCGUACCCUGAUGUCACAGCAAAGAAACUUAGACAUGACACAAACUGUGGCUUCCCAAGGCAGCAAAGAAUGGCCAGGGGUCAUGAGGGCCGUGCCCCACUUUUGGACAGACCUACUCUAAAGUCACGCUACCUGCGUGCAAAUCAUAAAAUCAACACUUUUGAGGAGAUCACAGCUAUGCCUUCGUAACACAGCCCAGUCCGACCAGAUAGACGGUGCCUCGUGACCCGAAAACAAGCCCCCGGCCCCCCACCAUGUGUGUGAGCCUUACCUUGGACUGCACGCUGAGGGAGCGGAUGGAAGGGACAGCAAGGAGGCCGAAGCGCUCGUAGAGGUACUCAUUGGAGGAGCUUCCCUUCAGGAGGGCGAAAGGAAUGAGGUAGAGCUCCCCCUCCAGAACCAGGAUGAGCUGCCGGUGCCGGCCCACGGGGCCGCUGGAGUGCAUCAGGCCCUAUGGAGCAAGCACGGAGAGGCUGACAUGGGUGGCCCAGCAGGCAGGGGUUUCAGGCACCAGGACAACCCUGAGCCCUAGCCUGGAUGACACAAGCACGAGCAGGUGAGGCCUGUGGGGGUGUGGGGCGCCAUGGGGCAUGGGCCGAGUUGCAGCCCUGCAGGAGCGGCACCAACUGGCAUGCUCGCUUGUGGACUGGCAAGGGCUGGCCUGGCAGCAUCCAUCUGCCUCACAGUCCUGAGAAGGUUAGAGGACAGUUUCUUGAAGUUCACAAGAACCUGAAGUGGGUUGGAGACCGGUCUGUACCGCACAGGCACCCUGAGAAGGGGUGGGAAUGGCCCCUCUCAAAACAAGAUCUGUUUUCCAUUUCAAUGGACAAGAGGCUAGAAAAUCACAGUGAGGACGGGAGGUCUGGGGGCUGGCAUGACAGCCCCUGUAGAAGGGGAUGGGCUGGGUUCUAGGAUCUUCCGUGACCUCCUCUGAGAAAGAGUGGCCCCUUGGCUCUGGGCUUGGGAGGUGCCGUCCCCACUUGUUCCCUCUGGGGAUGUCAGGGGACCCAAUGCAUGGAUGACUCCCAUCCCUCUUGAAAGGCCGAGCAUGAGGACUCGAGGCAGGGUGUGCACAGGGCCACAGCGGACACAGCCUCAUUCCUGUUCAUUGCAGAACAAGGCUAAGGGCGCGGGCAUCUUAAUGAGAGCAGCAGGCAACAAUCCUGGAAGCUGGGUCCACACAGACUGCGGUGAACAAAGAGGUGGCGUGGAAGCUGCUGCUGCAGCCCAGAGCCUGCCAAGAAGGUCCCAGGUCCACAGGGCCUGCGCAACACUGGGUGCCAGGGGUGGGGCUGGCCUGCCCCCCAACCCCAUCUGCUGAGGAGUGGCUGACAAGCGGACACCCACCAGGGUGCCACUCGCUUGUGCCUGGGGAAGCAAAUGUGCUCGCUUGACCCGUCUGAUGUGCUGCCGUGGGCACUUGACUGAGAGUGGCAGAGCACUAGGCUAACCCAAAGUGACACAUGCCUGGCGGGAUGUUCAGUCUCUGUAAACCCAUAUGGUUUUUUUUUUUCUUUCCUUUAAAAAAAAUUUCUAGCUCCAUCUAGCGAAAGCAGAAAUAAAA